UUAUGGUCAAAUCAUGCUGAAAGCACUGGUUCUCAUUUGAUCAUCAAAGUUAAGCAGUAUUAAGCCUGAUCAAUACUUAGACAGGGAACCACUUGGGAACACCUGG
Molecule: non-coding RNA, 106 nt
Organism: Acanthosepion pharaonis
Lineage: Eukaryota; Metazoa; Mollusca; Cephalopoda; Sepiida; Sepiidae
Source: the annotation of a GenBank genome assembly